Molecule: ribosomal RNA, 447 nt
Filed under: uncultured bacterium
Lineage: Bacteria
Description: bacterial SSU rRNA
Rfam family: Bacterial small subunit ribosomal RNA
Source: RNAcentral
UCGGGAAUUUUGGGCAAUGGGCGAAAGCCUGACCCAGCAACGCCGCGUGAAGGAUGAAGUAUUUCGGUAUGUAAACUUCGUAAGAAUAGGAAGAAUAAAUGACGGUACUAUUUGUAAGGUCCGGCUAACUACGUGCCAGCAGCCGCGGUAAUACGAAGGGGGCUAGCGUUGUUCGGAAUUACUGGGCGUAAAGCGCACGUAGGCGGAUUGUUAAGUCAGAGGUGAAAUCCCGGAGCUCAACUUCGGAACUGCCUUUGAUACUGGCAAUCUAGAGUCCGGAAGAGGUUAGUGGAAUUCCCAGUGUAGAGGUGAAAUUCGUAGAUAUUGGGAAGAACACCAGUGGCGAAGGCGGCCAACUGGCUCGAUACUGACGCUGAGGUGCGAAAGCGUGGGGAGCAAACAGGAUUAGAUACCCCCGUAGUCCCUGAGCGGGCUGGCAAGGCGCAU